Molecule: transfer RNA, 81 nt
Filed under: Candidatus Shapirobacteria bacterium
Lineage: Bacteria; Candidatus Shapironibacteriota
Description: tRNA-Leu
Rfam family: tRNA
About the family: Transfer RNA (tRNA) molecules are approximately 80 nucleotides in length. Their secondary structure includes four short double-helical elements and three loops (D, anti-codon, and T loops).
Source: RNAcentral
GCCGAAGUGGCGGAAUUGGCAGACGCGCACGGUUCAGGGCCGUGUCCUUUAAGGGUGUGGGUUCGACUCCCACCUUCGGCA